UAAUAAAAUAAGUUCUAGAUCAGG
Molecule: non-coding RNA, 24 nt
Filed under: Mus musculus (house mouse)
Lineage: Eukaryota; Metazoa; Chordata; Mammalia; Rodentia; Muridae
Source: RNAcentral